This 925-nucleotide ribosomal RNA is filed under the name uncultured bacterium. RNAcentral describes it as "bacterial SSU rRNA". It matches the Rfam family "Bacterial small subunit ribosomal RNA", at positions 28 to 949 of the family's 1533-position model. The record is from RNAcentral.
AUUGAACGCUGGCGGAAUGCUUUACACAUGCAAGUCGAACGGCAGCACGGACUUCGGUCUGGUGGCGAGUGGCGAACGGGUGAGUAAUAUAUCGGAACGUGCCCAGUCGUGGGGGAUAACGUAGCGAAAGUUACGCUAAUACCGCAUACGAUCUACGGAUGAAAGCGGGGGAUCGCAAGACCUCGCGCGAUUGGAGCGGCCGAUAUCAGAUUAGGUAGUUGGUGGGGUAAAGGCUCACCAAGCCAACGAUCUGUAGCUGGUCUGAGAGGACGACCAGCCACACUGGAACUGAGACACGGUCCAGACUCCUACGGGAGGCAGCAGUGGGGAAUUUUGGACAAUGGACGCAAGUCUGAUCCAGCCAUUCCGCGUGCAGGAUGAAGGCCCUCGGGUUGUAAACUGCUUUUGUACAGAACGAAAAGGCUCUUCCUAAUACGAGGGGCUCAUGACGGUACUGUAAGAAUAAGCACCGGCUAACUACGUGCCAGCAGCCGCGGUAAUACGUAGGGUGCAAGCGUUAAUCGGAAUUACUGGGCGUAAAGCGUGCGCAGGCGGUUAUGUAAGACAGAGGUGAAAUCCCCGGGCUCAACCUGGGAACUGCCUUUGUGACUGCAUAGCUAGAGUACGGCAGAGGGGGAUGGAAUUCCGCGUGUAGCAGUGAAAUGCGUAGAUAUGCGGAGGAACACCGAUGGCGAANGCAAUCCCCUGGGCCUGUACUGACGCUCAUGCACGAAAGCGUGGGGAGCAAACAGGAUUAGAUACCCUGGUAGUCCACGCCCUAAACGAUGUCAACUGGUUGUUGGGUCUUCACUGACUCAGUAACGAAGCUAACGCGUGAAGUUGACCGCCUGGGGAGUACGGNCGCAAGGUUGAAACUCAAGGGAAUUGACGGGGACCCGCACAAGCGGUGGAUGAUGUGGUUUAA